RNAcentral lists this ribosomal RNA (253 nucleotides) under uncultured bacterium. RNAcentral describes it as "partial 16S ribosomal RNA". It matches the Rfam family "Bacterial small subunit ribosomal RNA", at positions 524 to 776 of the family's 1533-position model. The record is from RNAcentral.
UACGUAGGGCGCAAGCGUUGUCCGGAAUUAUUGGGCGUAAAGAGCUCGUAGGCGGUUUGUCGCGUCUGCUGUGAAAACCUAAGGCUCAACCUUGGGCUUGCAGUGGGUACGGGCAGACUAGAGUGCGGUAGGGGUGACUGGAAUUCCUGGUGUAGCGGUGGAAUGCGCAGAUAUCAGGAGGAACACCGAUGGCGAAGGCAGGUCGCUGGGCCGCAACUGACGCUGAGGAGCGAAAGCAUGGGGAGCGAACAGG